AGUGAACGCUGGCGGUAGGCCUAACACAUGCAAGUCGAACGGCCGCACAGUAAUAUCUUGCUCUUACGGGUGGCGAGUGGCGGACGGGUGAGGAAUACAUCGGAAUCUACUUUUUCGUGGGGGAUAACGUAGGGAAACUUACGCUAAUACCGCAUACUACCUACGGGUGAAACCAGGGGCUCUUCGGACCUUGGUCGAUUGAAUGAUGCCAUGUCGGAUUCCAUAUCUGGCGGGGUAAAGGCCGACGAAGGCGACGAACCGUAGCUGGUACCAGAGGAUGAUCACCCACACGGGAACUGAGACACAGUAGCGACUCCUACAGGAGGCAGCAGUGGGGAAUAUUAGACGAUGGGCGCGAGCCUAAUCCAGCCAAAUCGGGGAGAUGAUGAAGGCCUCAGGGUUGGAAAGCCCUUUAGUUGUUAGAGAAAAACAGCUGGUUAAUCCCCCACUGUUCUGACGGUACCCAAAGAAUAAGCACCGGCUAACUUCGUG
This 492-nucleotide ribosomal RNA is filed under the name uncultured bacterium. RNAcentral describes it as "partial 16S ribosomal RNA". It matches the Rfam family "Bacterial small subunit ribosomal RNA", at positions 29 to 507 of the family's 1533-position model. The record is from RNAcentral.